RNAcentral lists this non-coding RNA (135 nucleotides) under Streptomyces sp. The record is from RNAcentral. Lineage: Bacteria; Bacillati; Actinomycetota; Actinomycetes; Kitasatosporales; Streptomycetaceae.
GAGCGAUAUCGUCCCGAUGACCUUACAAGCGACAUGACGGAAUCCGGUGAGAGCCCGGAGCGGUCGCGCCACUGUAUGCCGGACCCGCGUCUGCCGGGACCGGCGAGUCAGACCCGUCAUGCGUAUCGAAGCUCC